Molecule: long non-coding RNA, 568 nt
Organism: Anguilla anguilla (European eel)
Lineage: Eukaryota; Metazoa; Chordata; Actinopteri; Anguilliformes; Anguillidae
Exons: 4
Source: RefSeq, a predicted model, not a curated record
UAUUAUUUCGGUGUGUUGAUUCGGACAAAUAUUGGGUCUGCACCUGCCUACUUUUCGUGUCUAAAAACUUUCAUUUAGAUAAGCUACCUAAGCAGUACUUUCAUAUUAUCAGAUUGCCUCUUGUACUGAAAACCUAGGCUGAAUUUGCAGAAUUUUAAAAUGGCAUCAAGUUUAACUGAAAUCGCUGAUUGGUAUGCCAGCUGAAGCUCCCACAGACCCGGACAUUAUUCACAGCCAGCAGGCCUGUCAGCGGAGAUAACGCAUGGUGGAUCCGCCUUCCCGCUUUCCCGCCUUCCUGCCCGGAAAAUGGGAGAAGAGUGAGUGGUGGCAUGCGGCAGGGCUCCGCCCCCAGUUCCGCCCCCCCAGCGCCGCCUUCCAGCUCCGCCCCCAGCUCCGCCCAGCUCCCGCCUCCCUGAUAGCUCUGCAGUGCAGACUGCCGCUGACAGAUUUCUCUACAACAGACAAAAAGUCCACCGUUCGGCUAUGAGCGAGAGUCCUGCGACAAGAACGUCGCUGCUGGGAGGCCGUAUUCCGCUCCAGCCCGAGCGAAGCGCGGCGCUAAUCGGCU